ACGAACGCUGGCGGCGUGCUUAACACAUGCAAGUCGAACGGAAAGGCCCUUCGGGGUACUCGAGUGGCGAACGGGUGAGUAACACGUGGGUGAUCUGCCCUGCACUUUGGGAUAAGCCUGGGAAACUGGGUCUAAUACCGAAUAGGACCACACGCUUCAUGGUGUGUGGUGGAAAGCUUUUGCGGUGUGGGAUGGGCCCGCGGCCUAUCAGCUUGUUGGUGGGGUAAUGGCCUACCAAGGCGACGACGGGUAGCCGGCCUGAGAGGGUGACCGGCCACACUGGGACUGAGAUACGGCCCAGACUCCUACGGGAGGCAGCAGUGGGGAAUAUUGCACAAUGGGCGCAAGCCUGAUGCAGCGACGCCGCGUGAGGGAUGACGGCCUUCGGGUUGUAAACCUCUUUCAAUAGGGACGAAGCGCAAGUGACGGUACCUAUAGAAGAAGCACCGGCCAACUACGUG
This 461-nucleotide ribosomal RNA is filed under the name uncultured bacterium. RNAcentral's name for it is "partial 16S ribosomal RNA". It matches the Rfam family "Bacterial small subunit ribosomal RNA", at positions 29 to 507 of the family's 1533-position model. The record is from RNAcentral.